This 220-nucleotide long non-coding RNA is filed under the name Salvator merianae (Argentine black and white tegu). Its description in RNAcentral is "lncRNA (ENSSMRG00000022181.1)". Lineage: Eukaryota; Metazoa; Chordata; Lepidosauria; Squamata; Teiidae. The record is from RNAcentral.
CAAAUUUCCAAUUUGCAUUAAGUGUUUGUCUUUAAUAUCUUUGAUCUUCUUUUAAAGCUAAUUUCUUCUCCUUUUUUCAUCUGAAGGCACCUCAAGCAUCAUCCCUUAGUCCUAUUACCCAACGGAAAUUGUUUGUUACAUGCUUUGCAAGUGGCAUUGUGUGUUCUAUUCUUGGAGCAGCAAUAUUUUUGCUUUCAAAUGAGGAUCUGAAAUUCUCUGC